GAUCCUGGCUCAGGAUGAACGCUAGCGACAGGCCUAACACAUGCAAGUCGAGGGGCAGCGGGGAGGUAGCAAUACCUUUGCCGGCGACCGGCGCACGGGUGAGUAACACGUAUGCAAUCCACCUGUAACAGGGGGAUAACCCGGAGAAAUCCGGACUAAUACCCCAUAAUAUGGGCGCUCCGCAUGGAGAGUCCAUUAAAGAGAGCAAUCUUGGUUACAGACGAGCAUGCGCUCCA
RNAcentral lists this ribosomal RNA (236 nucleotides) under uncultured bacterium. RNAcentral describes it as "partial 16S ribosomal RNA". It matches the Rfam family "Bacterial small subunit ribosomal RNA", at positions 15 to 240 of the family's 1533-position model. The record is from RNAcentral.